This 229-nucleotide long non-coding RNA is filed under the name Mustela putorius furo (domestic ferret). RNAcentral's name for it is "lncRNA (ENSMPUG00000027703.1)". Lineage: Eukaryota; Metazoa; Chordata; Mammalia; Carnivora; Mustelidae. The record is from RNAcentral.
UCUUGACACAUUGCACAUCUUCCCAUACAGAUGCAGAGAAUGGGAGAAGUGGAAUCACAGGGGAAAACGAGAGAACCUCUGGUGUCAGUGUGAAGAACAGAACUAUUGAGUGAAAUGAAAAAUUUGAAGAUGUUUGGGGGGUAGAAUCAACAGAGAUUGGCAGAUAGCCAUGGAAGGGGAAGGAUGCAAAGAAAAUAUAUGAGAACGAUGGAAAAUGAAUGCAUUCAAC